AGUGACGGCAAUUACUGUGAAUAUGAGAACUGUGAAGACGAAGACUGAGAAAGAGUGAACACAUGGUCGUAGUAAUUACGGGUUUUGGAUUUCUUCUUUUGGAUCCCUUUUGUUGAUUUAAUCAUCUCAUCAUUGUUGAUUUUGAGUUUAGAUACGUUUUUGUUCUUUAGGUAAUGAAGCUCCAAACUUGAGGGUGCUUGCGGACAAGGUUGCAAGUUCUGGAUUUUUUGGUGUGGUUCCUGAUUAUACAAAAGAUUUUGAGGUGAAGGACGAGCGAAAAUAGAGAAUUAAGAGAUGGAUGAUAGUGAAGUUGUGAAGCAGAGAGAGAUGGAAUCCUGGAGUCUCUAGAAGUGACGUAGUCAAGGUUCUCUCCUUCUUUGUUUCUUACUUUGCCUCAGUCAGUCUGGAGCUUUCAAGUUGUCAAAGGAUGGUUUUCUAUUGCUCCAAUUUGCUCCUUCUGCUGGUGUACGACAAUAUAAUUGGGGCAAGAAACAGGUUGCACUUGAUUCGCCUCCAAGCUUCUGUUUGUGCUCUCUUGUCCUAUGCUACUGUUGUUGUUGCUGCAGCUUCUGUCUCUUCUCCUAUGCUACUGUUUUUGUUGCUGCAGCUUCUGCAAAAGAGAUCUCAGACAGCCAACGACAAAGAAAAGAACCAAGCUAUAGAGGAUUUGGAGAUGGCAGUGAAGUGUGGACAUCAACCUAAGUUCUUGGAGGGAGAGAAAGAGCAAACCAAUGGAGUUCUUCGUUUAAUCCAUCUGAAUUACAAUACUUGUCUUGUUUAAGACCUUGUUUUAAAUGGUGUUGAAUACUAAACUAUGUAUAUUUUGAUGAUCUAUGGAAAG
RNA transcript from Arabidopsis lyrata subsp. lyrata, 841 nucleotides. RefSeq lists it as uncharacterized. NCBI's taxonomy places the organism in Eukaryota, Viridiplantae, Streptophyta, Magnoliopsida, Brassicales, Brassicaceae. The transcript is spliced from 6 exons. The record is from RefSeq and is a predicted model, not a curated record.